UCUACAUCAUUUUAUCUAAUAUGUACUCAUCCUCGUGUUAGGUAGUUUGUGAGGUACCUGGCAACCAAUUCUUUCUAUGUCUUCUUUUUGAUCCUGUGUACCUAUCUCUUUUCAGAUAAAUGAAAAACUUAGUAUAUACAAAAGAAUAUAUAUACAUGUUAUGAAGUAAAAUAAUAAGCAAAUAUUAAGUAUCUUUUUAUUUGGAAAAAUCUGAUUUUGUUCCAGAUUUAGCAGGUAGUAUUAUAAUUAACAGUUAGUAAAAUGGUGAGUUCAAGAGAGAGAGAUGUCAUUUAUCUAAAAUGUACUCACUCAAAAAACUACUCACAGUAAGGUAUAGCAUGCUCAGCUUGCUUGUAAAGUGUGUGUGUGUGUGUGUGUGUGUGUGUGUGUGUGUCAUAUAACAGAUUUCUGCUUCCAACAAUAUGCCUGGUUAGGAGGUUCAAGGGGACAUCCCUCCACAGAACAACUAAAGUUUGGAAGCAACACACUAUUUGAAAUAUUGCUAGUCACAUAGAAGUAGGAGCAUUUUCCAAAAACGUACUCUCUUUAAAGAAAGUCACUUGGGCCAGAAGAGACAGCAGACAUUCAGGACGAGCAGAAUUCAUGGAGGGAAGCAGUGCUGUCUGGAAACUGAGCCAUUAGCCAGCCUUGGACCAAUAUGAGUCGCAGAACAACAGCCUGGUUCUGACAUAUAGAGUUUAGGUAGUCCCACGUUGAUGGUCAAUAUAUGUUGGCCAAACAUACUUGAAAACAAGCCACUGUUGACUGAGGAAAGGAGAGGAAACAACAGAUCCAGGGGCUGUAGAUAAUGUAAUUGCAGCUAUAGAAUACAGAAUGACUACGUGAACAUUCAAAGCCAAUCAUUAGAUGAAGUCACUUGGUGAAAUCAGAUGAAGAUUUCUAGUUUCUAGAUAACUUCCUCCCCAUAAAGCUUUUCCUGAAGCUCCUGAAGUAUUCAAAUUAGCUUCCCUGCAUUUUGCCACCUACGUGUUCCUCAAAUCUCACUCUGA
Molecule: long non-coding RNA, 1010 nt
Filed under: Homo sapiens (human)
Lineage: Eukaryota; Metazoa; Chordata; Mammalia; Primates; Hominidae
Description: HSALNT0186259
Source: RNAcentral